UACGAAGGGGGCUAGCGUUGCUCGGAAUCACUGGGCGUAAAGCGCACGUAGGCGGCUUGCUAAGUCAGGGGUGAAAUCCUGGAGCUCAACUCCAGAACUGCCCUUGAUACUGGCGGGCUUGAGUCCGGGAGAGGUGAGUGGAACUGCGAGUGUAGAGGUGAAAUUCGUAGAUAUUCGCAAGAACACCAGUGGCGAAGGCGGCUCACUGGCCCGGUACUGACGCUGAGGUGCGAAAGCGUGGGGAGCAAACAGG
This 253-nucleotide ribosomal RNA is filed under the name uncultured bacterium. RNAcentral describes it as "partial 16S ribosomal RNA". It matches the Rfam family "Bacterial small subunit ribosomal RNA", at positions 524 to 776 of the family's 1533-position model. The record is from RNAcentral.